CCCUCCCCUCCCCUCCCCUCUCCCCUCCCCAGCUCUUGCACAAACGCGACCCGGACCGCUAAGUGCGUGCCACAGGUCACGAAAAAUGGGAAAUAAAGUUUGAAGCUCCUGGAGCCGUCCUCCCCACCACCACCACCACCACCCGCUCCCCUGCUCGAGGGCUGCAGGGGGCACGACCCGCGCGCUCCUCCCUUCCCUCCAGGGUCGGCCUUCGUGGGAGCUGCCACGCGCUAGGCCUCUGCUGUGGAAUCUGGCUCAGCUGCUGCACCAGCUUCUGCAAGUGCGCGUGUCAGGACCGGGGCGGCGGGCAGAGCCGGUCCUGGCCUCCCGGGGCAGCCCCUCUGCAGGGCCGAGCCGGCCUCCAGGCGACACCUGCCUCCGCAAGGCGUCAAGGCUGCAGCAAGGAGGCCCGCGUGCGUGCGCUAGGGACGGCCUUCCCCUCCCUUGCAGGCCUCCUCUGGGGCCGCCGCCGUGCUCCUUUCCUACCAAAUACAGGUGCUCCUCCUUUCCUACCAGAUGCAAGUGCUCCUUUCCCACCAAAUACAAGUGCUCCUUUCCUACCAGAUGCAAGCGCCUUUCCUACCAGAUGCAACUGCUCCUUUCCUACCAAAUGAAAGUGCUCCUUUCCCACCAGAUGCAAGUGCUCCUUUCCCACCAGAUGCAAGCGCCUUUCCUAUCAGAUGCAAGUGCUCCUUUCCUACCAGAUACAAGUAUCACAAAAGAAUUGGAGUGAUUGAAGUUAUGAUAGACAUUGUUAAGGACCAUGAGAUUACCCCCAGAGAAGCUGACCACCCCACAGUUUCUUCCUUUGGUAUAGUGACCAAAUUCUCCAAACCAAAACUCAGGACACAUGGCUUGCCGCAUACUCAAGAACAAAGGGACAAACCCCAUGAAGGUGAAAUGAGCUAAUAAAAUCUGCUCAUAUGCUGGGCAGCCAUUGGUUUAGGGGGUGUGAAGAGCAGGCUGGGUGGGUGAGAGCUAUAGAUAAUCUCAGACCGCCAGUUAACUAUUGAUUUCACCCACCACUUCCAACCCUUUUCUGAGCUGCUCCCAAACAGCCUAAUUAACUGAUCUGAAUUUCAGCUUCUUCCCUUUUCUCCUUAGCCCUUGAAUAAUAAGCAGCGAAAUGGCCAAAGGCAGACUAGGGGAGCAGAAAAGAAAGGCCGUGAACUAUGUGCAAAACUAAGACCAUGCCAAAAAAAAAAAAAAAAAAACAAAAACAAAAACAAAACCCACAACCCUUAAAUUUUAGAUUUUUUUUUCUAAAAAUCCAUUUUAGAUUUAUUCUCUCUAGAUAACUUCUGGAUGAUAUUUCUUAUUUCUAAACUUAUGCUAACUGCUGGAUGAUAUUUCUCUCCAGAUAACUUCUGGAUGAUAUUUCUGAUUUCUAAACUUAUGUUAAUGGCCUACUUGUGCUGAGCAAUCCCCUGCAAGGUGGUGGGGAGUAACAGCCGAGGAAAACUAGGCCACGAGGAAUUCAGUCUGGCAAGAGUCUAGCGAGCUGGGCAUUGCGUUACAGUGUGGCGUGGCGUGGUAGGGUAGGCCGAGCAAGUGCGGGCCAGGAGCCCCUAUGGCAAUACGGACAGGUUUUCCAGAAGAAGUCACAGCCUAGCAGAUUCUUGAAGGACAGCCAUCCCUGGUGUGUCGUUCCACUUUUCCUCUGGGAAAAUGAUCCAAUCAGAGAAAGACCGGUAGAGGCUCUCCACAGCACCUCGCCUUCGUCCUGCAGAGAUCAUCCAUGAAGCCUCAAGAACUUCAUGUUGGUGGUUCCUGUAGUUCAGGGCGGGAGAUCUUCCGCAGGCACUCACAGGUAAAAACGAGACCACUACCACAUAUCUGGACCAAGAAACCGUCGGUGCCCCCAGCCGAGACGGAGGCGAAUGCAGUCCUGGACUGGAGACGACGCUCAGUAAGCCGGUACUCUUCCGGGACCUGUCUGCACCUGCUCCCCAAAGGGGGCCAUCCCAGUAGAAGCUUCGCUGUUCCUCACCUUUCCACCACGUGGUCACUGCUUCAUUUCCAUGAGGAAUCCCUUCUUUCCAGCUUCACUUAAUCUCAUCGCCCUCCACCACUGCCCUCUUUCCAGGCCACCCUGCUCUACCCUCUUGACACCCACCAACCACCAAAUCUGUCCCUCACGUGGCAUUUCAAUUUCCUUGGCACCUCAAACUAAAGUAUUAGCUCAUUCCUUUAUUAUCCUUCGUAGUGAUAUAUUUAAACCCAAACUUAUUGCCCCCAAAUGACUUCAGGUCCCUCCAUUCCUAAAUGUUGUGAAGCUAAAAUGGUUUUACAUGGAAAACAUUUUAAACAAGUCACCGCAUUCAUUCUUCAGAGGUCUUUCAAGGCAUCCUAUCACGUCUCAGUGAAGGUCAUGUAAAGCCUCUCUCACUGGACUCUUAAUUCUAGGAAACAAACAGGGUGGCGGCGGGAGGGGAGGUAGGUAGGGGUGAUGGGGUUUUGGGGUGAGGGCCAUGAAGAAGGGCACGUGACGUAAGGAGCCUGGGUGUUGCGUGCAACUGAGGAAUCCCUAAAUUCCACCCCCGAAACUAAAAAUACGAUGUAUGUAUGUUAACUAAAUUGAAUUUAAAUUAAAAUUUAAAGAAAAUAAAUAAAAAGUAAAAAUAAAACCUCUCUCA
RNAcentral lists this long non-coding RNA (2636 nucleotides) under Vulpes vulpes (red fox). RNAcentral's name for it is "lncRNA (ENSVVUG00000001433.1)". The record is from RNAcentral. Lineage: Eukaryota; Metazoa; Chordata; Mammalia; Carnivora; Canidae.